Molecule: ribosomal RNA, 398 nt
Filed under: uncultured Sebacinales
Lineage: Eukaryota; Fungi; Basidiomycota; Agaricomycetes; Sebacinales
Description: eukaryotic LSU rRNA
Rfam family: 5.8S ribosomal RNA (bases 1-105)
Source: RNAcentral
GAAAUGCGAUAAGUAAUGUGAAUUGCAGAAUUCAGUGAAUCAUCGAAUCUUUGAACGCACCUUGCACCCUUUGGUAUUCCGAAGGGUACACCCGUUUGAGUGUCAUUGUAUUCUCACACCCGAGGAUUUUCGAAUCUGAGGGACUGUGGACUUGGACGUAUUAUGCCGCGUCACUGCGGCUCGUCUCAAAUGCAUGAGUAUGACUGGCUUGCCAAGUGUCAUCUGGUGUGAUAAGCAUCUUCACCGGAGUUAGGGACCCUCUCAGAGGAACCCGCACUGGGCUCGCCUUAGGUUGGCUGCAAACCGUCUUCGGACAAACUACCUUGACAAUUUGACCUCAGAUCGGGUGGGACUACCCGCUGAACUUAAGCAUAUCAAUAAGCGGAGGAAAAGAAACU